UUUAUACUUCCUCCGUCCAACAAAAGAUGUCUCAAGUUUGUCAAAAUUUGGAUGUAUCUAGACGUGACUUAGUGUAUAGAUGCAUUGAAAUUUAGUGAAAGUUGAGACAUCCUUUGUUGGACGGAAGAAGUAGUAU
Brachypodium distachyon (stiff brome) is the source of this 136-nucleotide non-coding RNA. The record is from Rfam. Lineage: Eukaryota; Viridiplantae; Streptophyta; Magnoliopsida; Poales; Poaceae.